Molecule: ribosomal RNA, 1121 nt
Filed under: Jaaginema litorale LEGE 07176
Lineage: Bacteria; Bacillati; Cyanobacteriota; Cyanophyceae; Leptolyngbyales; Leptolyngbyaceae
Also listed under: 1 other name
Description: bacterial SSU rRNA
Rfam family: Bacterial small subunit ribosomal RNA
Source: RNAcentral
CGUGGGGGAGGAAGGCCUUCUGGGUCGCAAACCCCUUUUCUCAGGGAAGAAGCUCUGACGGUACCUGAGGAAUCAGCCUCGGCUAACUCCGUGCCAGCAGCCGCGGUAAUACGGAGGAGGCAAGCGUUAUCCGGAAUUAUUGGGCGUAAAGCGUCCGCAGGUGGCUUUUCAAGUCUGCUGUCAAAGCCCGAAGCUCAACUUCGGAGAGGCAGUGGAAACUGGGAAGCUAGAGAACGGUAGGGGUAGAGGGAAUUCCCAGUGUAGCGGUGAAAUGCGUAGAGAUUGGGAAGAACACCGGUGGCGAAAGCGCUCUACUGGGCCGUAUCUGACACUCAGGGACGAAAGCUAGGGUAGCGAAUGGGAUUAGAUACCCCAGUAGUCCUAGCUGUAAACGAUGGAAACUAGGCGUGGCUUGUAUCGACCCGAGCCGUGCCGAAGCUAACGCGUUAAGUUUCCCGCCUGGGGAGUACGCACGCAAGUGUGAAACUCAAAGGAAUUGACGGGGGCCCGCACAAGCGGUGGAGUAUGUGGUUUAAUUCGAUGCAACGCGAAGAACCUUACCAGGACUUGACAUGUCGCGAAUUCCGGUGAAAGCUGGAAAUGCCUUCGGGAACGCGAGCACAGGUGGUGCAUGGCUGUCGUCAGCUCGUGUCGUGAGAUGUUGGGUUAAGUCCCGCAACGAGCGCAACCCUCGUCCUUAGUUGCCAGCAUUAAGUUGGGCACUCUAGGGAGACUGCCGGUGACAAACCGGAGGAAGGUGGGGAUGACGUCAAGUCAGCAUGCCCCUUACGUCCUGGGCGACACACGUACUACAAUGGUCGAGACAAAGGGCAGCAACUCCGCAAGGACAAGCGAAUCUCAUCAAACUCGGCCUCAGUUCAGAUUGCCGGCUGCAACUCGCCGGCAUGAAGGAGGAAUCGCUAGCAAUCGCAGGUCAGCAUACUGCGGUGAAUCCGUUCCCGGGCCUUGUACACACCGCCCGUCACACCAUGGAAGCUGGCCACGCCCGAAGUCGUUACCCUAACCGUUCGCGGAGGGGGAUGCCGAAGGCAGGGCUAGUGACUGGGGUGAAGUCGUAACAAGGUAGCCGUACCGGAAGGUGUGGCUGGAUCACCUCCUUU